UUUUACGUCAUUCGCAUACGCGUUGGGAUCCAAAAGUUCAUUAUCCAAGCAUGAUUUUGACCGAAAAGUAUCCGAAGCCGAUGCGUUUUUACAAUUGCUUAUUGAUCAAAUAGUAUUAAUAGAAGGCCAGCCGAGUAAUGAAACAGAAAAGGAUAAUAAUAAACAAGAAAAGUAUGGUGUUAUUUUAGUCCACGCUAACUCUGUGCUUAAUUCCAUCAAACAUACAAUCGUUCAAUUACAAAUAGCAAAGAAUACUGCCAUUCCUGUGAAUGGUAUUUUACAAUGGAGA
This is a long non-coding RNA of Cotesia glomerata, 289 nucleotides long. RefSeq lists it as uncharacterized. NCBI's taxonomy places the organism in Eukaryota, Metazoa, Arthropoda, Insecta, Hymenoptera, Braconidae. The transcript is spliced from 3 exons. The record is from RefSeq and is a predicted model, not a curated record.